This 77-nucleotide transfer RNA is filed under the name Burkholderiales bacterium. RNAcentral describes it as "tRNA-Arg". It matches the Rfam family "tRNA". Rfam says of the family: Transfer RNA (tRNA) molecules are approximately 80 nucleotides in length. RNAcentral also lists the same sequence under 5 other names. The record is from RNAcentral. Lineage: Bacteria; Pseudomonadati; Pseudomonadota; Betaproteobacteria; Burkholderiales.
GCGCCCGUAGCUCAGAUGGAUAGAGUACUUGGCUACGAACCAAGGGGUCGGGCGUUCGAAUCGCUCCGGGCGCGCCA